AACAAACACAACAUUACCCUCUCCCGCAUCUCUCAUGCAAAGUGUCCCAAAGAGGCUGGCAGAAUGGAAUUGAGCUGAGUCGCAAUGAGAAAGCAUACACGCCAUAAAGGAGCAUUCGAUAUAGAAGCAAUCACUCCAAGGUGAUCCGUGCCAUCAGUCAGUCAGAGGUGUAAAUCCCACGGGACGCAUGAGGUAUGUGGCUGGCCGGGAUGCCUAUUUUCUAGGGGCAAUGAAUGAAUGGAUCUCUCCCUCCUGCCCAGGCCCCAAUGCUUUUAGCAAUUGGCACCGUGGCAGAAUUUAUACCAUGAUUCUUGUAAACUGUACUUUCUCUCUCUCUCUUUUUCAAAGGUUCCUUUCAAUAAAAUGCAGAUGGGAUUGUUUGAGAGCCGCCUCGCAUGUGUUUAUCGGUUACUUCUGCCUCGCUGCUUAUGCAGAUUUAUUCUGUGAAGCUUUGAACACUCGGUGACUCGGAAUGGAGAAUUUUCAGUUUAGUAAAGCACACAGUUCCUAAGUGUUAUUUGGAUGUGGAAUCUGUUCCUCUGCUCUUCCCUUGUUUGGAGAUAACGAUAUUUUCUGCUGCCCCAUUUGACAGAUUUGACCUCCAGCAUUUCAGUGUUAAUCUGAACUGGUAAGUGAUCAAAGCUUAUAUCCUGUUUUCUUUUCAGACAAGACUGACUUAAAAAAAAAAUCAU
This 692-nucleotide long non-coding RNA is filed under the name Rattus norvegicus (Norway rat). RNAcentral describes it as "long non-coding RNA NONRATT033753". Lineage: Eukaryota; Metazoa; Chordata; Mammalia; Rodentia; Muridae. The record is from RNAcentral.